This 347-nucleotide long non-coding RNA is filed under the name Rattus norvegicus (Norway rat). RNAcentral describes it as "long non-coding RNA NONRATT019277". Lineage: Eukaryota; Metazoa; Chordata; Mammalia; Rodentia; Muridae. The record is from RNAcentral.
GGAGGCAGAUGUUAAGAUCCCUCUCUUCACCUUUACAGAUAAAGCCAAGCCCGGGUCAAUGUAAGUCUCUUCCAUAUCUCUCUUGAUUCUGAAAUUCUUCAUCCGUGAUUCCUUAAACCUGGGAAAACAUUACCUCUUCCUGCAGCCGGUAGACUAAGGCCGGUACAGUAACUGGUGGAGCAGCUGCUCGUCUGUAAUUUCAAAGACCAUUUAUCUCCACAGACUUGAAUGAUGAUCAUCUCUGAUACAGAAGAGUUACUUCACAAUAUACUCUACGCUCCUAUGCCUUCAUGUGUAGCAUUUCCUCAGUAACAUACUUUGAGACUUUAAUCAGUAAAAUGAAUUUC